Molecule: ribosomal RNA, 497 nt
Filed under: uncultured bacterium
Lineage: Bacteria
Description: partial 16S ribosomal RNA
Rfam family: Bacterial small subunit ribosomal RNA
Source: RNAcentral
GAUGAACGCUGGCGGCGUGCUUAACACAUGCAAGUCGAGCGAACAGACGCGGAGCUUGCUCCUCGGACGUUUGCCGCGGACGGGUGAGUAACACGUGUAUAACCUACCUAUAAUUCGGGGAUAACCACGGGAAACCGGAGCUAAUACCGGAUAAGAUAUUGAACCGUAUGGUGCAAUAGAGAAAUUCGGCUUUGCUGUCUCUUAUAGCUGGUUCCGCGCGGCAUUGGCUGGUUUGUAAGUUAAUGGCUUACCAAGGCUACGAUGCGUAGCCGACCUGAUAGGGUGGUCGCCCACACUGGAGGUUGACCAGGGUCCAGGGGCCUGCGGGAGGGAGCAGUCGGGUAUGUUCCGCAAUGGGCGGGAGCCUGGCGGAACGACGCCGCGUGAGUGGUAGAAGUCUUCCGAGCGUAAAACUGUGUUUUGAGGGAAGAACAAAUUUGUCAGUAACUGUGGACGUCUUGACGGUAACUGGUAAAAAAGCCACGGCUAACUACGUG